RNAcentral lists this ribosomal RNA (611 nucleotides) under uncultured bacterium. Its description in RNAcentral is "bacterial SSU rRNA". It matches the Rfam family "Bacterial small subunit ribosomal RNA", at positions 67 to 723 of the family's 1533-position model. The record is from RNAcentral.
CGCUCACCUUCGGGUGGGAGUGGCAGACGGGUGAGUAACACGUGGGAACGUACCCUUUGGUUCGGGACAACUCUGGGAAACUGGAGCUAAUACCGGAUACGCCCUUUUGGGGAAAGGUUUACUGCCGAAGGAUCGGCCCGCGUCUGAUUAGCUAGUUGGUGGGGUAACGGCCUACCAAGGCGACGAUCAGUAGCUGGUCUGAGAGGAUGAUCAGCCACACUGGGACUGAGACACGGCCCAGACUCCUACGGGAGGCAGCAGUGGGGAAUAUUGGACAAUGGGCGCAAGCCUGAUCCAGCCAUGCCGCGUGAGUGAUGAAGGCCUUAGGGUUGUAAAGCUCUUUUAUCCGGGACGAUAAUGACGGUACCGGAGGAAUAAGCCCCGGCUAACUUCGUGCCAGCAGCCGCGGUAAUACGAAGGGGGCUAGCGUUGCUCGGAAUCACUGGGCGUAAAGGGCGCGUAGGCGGCGUUUUAAGUCGGGGGUGAAAGCCUGUGGCUCAACCACAGAAUGGCCUUCGAUACUGGGACGCUUGAGUCUGGUAGAGGUUGGUGGAACUGCGAGUGUAGAGGUGAAAUUCGUAGAUAUUCGCAAGAACACCGGUGGCGAAGCG